AUACGGAGGGUCCGAGCGUUAAUCGGAAUUACUGGGCGUAAAGCGCGCGUAGGUGGUUCAGUCAGUCAGAUGUGAAAGCCCCGGGCUCAACCUGGGAACUGCACCUGAUACUGCUGAGCUAGAGUACGGUAGAGGGCAGUGGAAUUUCCGGUGUAGCGGUGAAAUGCGUAGAGAUCGGAAGGAACACCAGUGGCGAAGGCGAGUGCCUGGCCGGGUAUUGACAUGGAGGUGCGAAAGCGUGGGGAGCAACCAGGAUUAGAUACCCUGGGAGUCCACGCCGGAAACGAUGUCAACUAGCCGUUGGGGGACUUGAGCCUUUGGUGGCGAAGCUAACGCGAUAAGUUGACCGCCUGGGGAGUACGGCCGCAAGGUUAAAACUCAAAUGAAUUGACGGGU
RNAcentral lists this ribosomal RNA (396 nucleotides) under uncultured bacterium. RNAcentral describes it as "partial 16S ribosomal RNA". It matches the Rfam family "Bacterial small subunit ribosomal RNA", at positions 523 to 918 of the family's 1533-position model. The record is from RNAcentral.